This 67-nucleotide small RNA is filed under the name Acididesulfobacillus acetoxydans. RNAcentral's name for it is "Peptococcaceae bacterium INE non-coding RNA". The record is from RNAcentral. Lineage: Bacteria; Bacillati; Bacillota; Clostridia; Eubacteriales; Peptococcaceae.
GUUUCAAUUCCUCAUAGGCAGGCUAUCGGCCGUCUUCGGCUACACCCCCUUUAAGUGCUCCCAUUUG